CUGGCGACUCUGUUGACAGCAUAUUAUGUGUUCAAUCUUCAUUACCAGGAGGAGGCAGCGUGUACAUUGGAGUUUAUUCAGAGGUGCUUUGUAGGUAUUAAUCCAAGAGGAACAAAGACGUGCAAAGGAAAGGUGCCAUCUAAAAAAACAGGGCAAAUGGUACAAAAGAAGCAGGUUGAAGUGAAUCCACAUGUUGCUACUCUUCUUUCCAAAUUGAUGGAUUUUCAGCGGACGUUCUAAAUUAACUCUUUGCAUCCUGUGAUGGAGCAGCACCUAAAGCUGAUUUGUUCUGCUAUCCUCCCCGAUGUUCGUUGGACUCACUUGGGGCC
This is a long non-coding RNA of Triplophysa dalaica, 329 nucleotides long. RefSeq lists it as uncharacterized. The record is from RefSeq and is a predicted model, not a curated record. The transcript is spliced from 3 exons. NCBI's taxonomy places the organism in Eukaryota, Metazoa, Chordata, Actinopteri, Cypriniformes, Nemacheilidae.